UGAAUACGAGAUGCUACGGCGUCGAAGCAGUGUAUGUCAGACUUCCAAGAAAAGCUCGCAAUGUCAUAAAUAAAGAAUGCCUGUACCAUAACCGACACAGGUGGGUAGGUAGAGUAUACUAAGGGGCGCGAGAUAACUCUCUCUAAGGAACUCGGCAAAAUAACUCCGUAACUUCGGGAGAAGGAGUGCCUUCUUUAAGAAGGUUGCAAUAACAAGAUCCAAGCAACUGUUUAUCAAAAACACAGGUCUCCGCUAAGUCGUAAGACGAUGUAUGGGGGCUGACGCCUGCCCAGUGCCAGAAGGUUAAAGAAGUUGGUUAGCUUUUGCGAAGCUGAUGACUGAAGCCCUGGUGAACGGCGGCCGUAACUAUAACGGUCCUAAGGUAGCGAAAUUCCUUGUCGGGUAAGUUCCGACCCGCACGAAAGGCGUAAUGAUUUGGAUACUGUCUCGGAGAGGGACUCGGUGAAAUAGACUUGUCUGUGAAGAUGCGGACUACCUGCACCAGGACAGAAAGACCCUAUGAAGCUUUACUGUAACUUGAAAUUGAAAUUGGACUUUAUUUGCGCAGUAUAGGUGGAAGGCGUUGAAAGUAAUCUUGCGGGAUUAGUGGAGCCAUCAGUGAGAUACCACUCCUAUAAUGUUAGAUUUCUAACUUUGGAUCAUGAUCUGGUCAAAGAACAGUUUCAGGCGGGCAGUUUGACUGGGGCGGUCGCCUCCCAAAUGGUAACGGAGGCGUACAAAGGUUUCCUCUGAACGGGUAGAAAUCGUAUCUAGAGUGUAAAGGCAUAAGGAAGCUUGACUGUGAGACCUACAAGUCGAGCAGGGACGAAAGUCGGUCUUAGUGAUCUGACGGUGCUGAGUGGAAAGGCCGUCACUCAACGGAUAAAAGUUACUCUAGGAUAACAGGCUGAUCUCCCCCAAGAGUUCACAUCGACGGGGAGGUUUGGCACCUCGAUGUCGGCUCAUCGCAUCCUGGGGCGGUAGUACGUCCCAAGGGUUGGGCUGUUCGCCCAUGAAAGCGGUACGCGAGCUGGGUUCAGAACGUCGUGAGACAGUUCGGUCCAUAUCCGGUGUAGGCGUUAGAAUAUUGAGAGGAGCCUUCUUUAGUACGAGAGGACCGAGAAGGACAUACCUCUGGUGUACCAGUUAUCGUGCCAACGGUAAACGCUGGGUAGCUAUGUAUGGAGAGGAUAACCGCUGAAAGCAUCUAAGUGGGAAGCCCACCUCAAGAUGAGUAUUCCC
This 1242-nucleotide ribosomal RNA is filed under the name metagenome. RNAcentral describes it as "bacterial LSU rRNA". It matches the Rfam family "Bacterial large subunit ribosomal RNA", at positions 1564 to 2815 of the family's 2925-position model. The record is from RNAcentral.